RNAcentral lists this ribosomal RNA (298 nucleotides) under uncultured marine bacterium. Its description in RNAcentral is "partial 16S ribosomal RNA". It matches the Rfam family "Bacterial small subunit ribosomal RNA", at positions 527 to 830 of the family's 1533-position model. The record is from RNAcentral.
GGAGGGUGCAAGCAUUAAUCGGAAUUACUGGGCGUAAAGCGCGCGUAGGUGGUUUGUUAAGUGGAAUGUGAAAGCCCUGGGCUCAACCUAGGAAUUGCAUCCCAAACUGGCAGACUAGAGUACAAGAGAGGGGUGUGGAAUUUCCUGUGUAGCGGUGAAAUGCGUAGAUAUAGGAAGGAACAUCAGUGGCGAAGGCGACGCCUGGCUUGAUACUGACAUUGAGGUGCGAACGGUGGGAGCAACAGGAUUAGAUACCCUGGUAGUCACGCCGUAACGAUGUCUACUAGCUGGGACUUAU